CAGUCAGUCACACAGUCACUCGAUUCGCCCAGUCGACAGACGAAUGACAACGCCUUCUCAAAAAGAAGGCAGAGACAGAAAGAGAAAGAGAGAAGAGGAGCUGCUAAAUUUACCUCCAGCAAGCCAGCAGGGGUUCUUAAGGCGAGCCAUUCCAGGGUUAAUAAAGGAGAAGUUCUUGAACAUAGUCUGGUCCACGCUGUUGAUGAGGGUCCGAUCGGCACAGGACAGUCGAGGCUUCUCGUUAAUGAACUCCUUAUCAAAGUU
Hemibagrus wyckioides is the source of this 264-nucleotide long non-coding RNA. RefSeq lists it as uncharacterized. The transcript has 3 exons. The record is from RefSeq and is a predicted model, not a curated record. NCBI's taxonomy places the organism in Eukaryota, Metazoa, Chordata, Actinopteri, Siluriformes, Bagridae.